CCGACCUUGAAAUACCACCCUUUAAUGUUUGAUGUUCUAACGUUGACCCCUAAUCGGGGUUGCGGACAGUGUCUGGUGGGUAGUUUGACUGGGGCGGUCUCCUCCUAAAGAGUAACGGAGGAGCACGAAGGUUGGCUAAUCCUGGUCGGACAUCAGGAGGUUAGUGCAAUGGCAUAAGCCAGCUUGACUGCGAGCGUGACGGCGCGAGCAGGUGCGAAAGCAGGUCAUAGUGAUCCGGUGGUUCUGAAUGGAAGGGCCAUCGCUCAACGGAUAAAAGGUACUCCGGGGAUAACAGGCUGAUACCGCCCAAGAGUUCAUAUCGACGGCGGUGUUUGGCACCUCGAUGUCGGCUCAUCACAUCCUGGGGCUGAAGUAGGUCCCAAGGGUAUGGCUGUUCGCCAUUUAAAGUGGUACGCGAGCUGGGUUUAGAACGUCGUGAGACAGUUCGGUCCCUAUCUGCCGUGGGCGCUGGAGAACUGAGGGGGGCUGCUCCUAGUACGAGAGGACCGGAGUGGACGCAUCACUGGUGUUCGGGUUGUCAUGCCAAUGGCACUGCCCGGUAGCUAAAUGCGGAAGAGAUAAGUGCUGAAAGCAUCUAAGCACGAAACUUGCC
This 613-nucleotide ribosomal RNA is filed under the name Escherichia coli. RNAcentral's name for it is "partial 23S ribosomal RNA". It matches the Rfam family "Bacterial large subunit ribosomal RNA", at positions 2186 to 2798 of the family's 2925-position model. Lineage: Bacteria; Pseudomonadati; Pseudomonadota; Gammaproteobacteria; Enterobacterales; Enterobacteriaceae. The record is from RNAcentral.